Cyanistes caeruleus (blue tit) is the source of this 1352-nucleotide long non-coding RNA. Lineage: Eukaryota; Metazoa; Chordata; Aves; Passeriformes; Paridae. The record is from Ensembl.
ACUAUUUGUCCACAUCUGAUGCAAAGAGUUUCUUGUUUCAGGAAGCCAACUCCAAAAUUGUAUUUCCUUGAGAUGAUUCAUCUGGUGGUGCAGUAGUGCCCCUGAAAGAAAGUCAGAGGAGGUUGGCAACAGUCCAUAGUAUUUCAGACUUCAGUGAAUCAUGGAACAUGGUUGGCUUGUGUGAGACAUCUUGGUUGAUGCAAGGCUGGUUGAAAUACAACAAAGAACUUAAGCACAUUACUGAAUUUUAAACCAGAGUGGCAUCUUAUGGCUUGACAUCUGCUUACAUACUGUGCUGGGAAAAGAUGCUACUGUGUAUUGCAGGUGUAUCAAGCAGGGAGAACACCUUUAUCACUAUAUAAGAUCUGAGGCUCAGGUCCUUCUUUAGUUCUUGUAUUUAAUUCAUGUGCUUCAGAUGUCAGGAAAAAAAAAUAGUUUUUCUGAUUUCCUUAAUGAGUCCCCAGCUUGUCAAAGUUCUUAGCUCAAGUUAGCACUUUACAACAUGAAUCCCAUUUUCAGCAUCAAGCAGGAUAAAACCCUGACACAUUUGCAAAACCAAGUGAAGUCUGAGAUAGCAAAAACAUUUCCAGAACUGUGGGAAGUAAUCAAAGGCAACAUUAAAUCUACUUGAUUCUCUUUCAUUGGCAACCACCUGGGUGUCCAGAUAGGUAAUUCAGAACAAAUGUGGUUUUUUGAGUGACUAGAAACAACUGGAAUGAAAAUCCAUUUUCACAUCAAUUGCUAAACACUGACCAAAGGAACAAAUAUGAUGCUGAACCAUGUUCUAAUCCAGGGGGGGCAUAUAGAAGUCUGUCUGUCUCCAACUAAAACAUCUUCUGUAAAAUUAUCCUGUUUGAGGACAAUUUCUGUCUCAAGGUGGCAAUUCAAAUCCUGAAGUAUGUGAAGACAGUGAAUUCUGUUGCCACAUCUGCUCUCAGUGAAUUGAUCAGAGUUCCUGGUAAACUGUUGAAGUAUAAGUGUAAUGAAAAGCAUCCUUCAGCAUCUAUCAUGAAUAUACACACCUGUGGCUCCGUAAUGACCUUGCAAGCCAAAAUCAGGGAGCCUGGGAAAACUUUGGUAUGGAUAUACUUGUUGCAUCAAAGUCCUUGAGGUUAUUGCCUACACUGUACUUAGCAGCAGUUUUGAAGCACCACAAGAGUUUGUAGCCUUCACAUCUAUGAUCUAUUGCAGAACAAUAACUUCGGACAUUUGGUUUAAUUCCUCUGAAAUCAAUGUUCACUUUUAGUCCGCUAACCAUAAGUCAAAACAGAUAAAUCCAGCAAACUAUUCAGACAAUACUGUUUUUAAGACAAAGGGUGUGUUUCUUUAAUAAAGCAAGAGACAACCAUGCA